Molecule: long non-coding RNA, 3470 nt
Filed under: Hordeum vulgare
Lineage: Eukaryota; Viridiplantae; Streptophyta; Magnoliopsida; Poales; Poaceae
Description: long non-coding RNA (HVUL_LNC000812)
Source: RNAcentral
UUCUCUUCACCCCCAUUCCUCCGGGCUCGCCGUCGCCGACGGGACCUCCUCCACCUCCCGCACAUCCUCACCAACAUCUCCCCAAGACUAAGGCGUAAGGAGGAAGCAAGCGCCCACCUCCCGCCGCCUCCACUGCCACCGCUGUAGCAGCAGUAGCGUACGCAGGAGAUUCAGAACUGUGUGUUGAACACGCGCGUGGCAGGGAUGGACGACGGCGACAGCGUCGCCCGGAGCGCAGACAAGGAUGCCCCCCCGGGAGACGACGGGAGCUCCACGCCCCUCCCCGAGACGGUGAGGAUCUCCUCUAUUAUGCAAGCACCGCGUGUUUGUUUCGAAUUGUCCGCUGUUUAGAUUUCAUUCGCGUGAUUGAACGUCUUUAUUGGUGCGGUAUGGUUCGGAGUUGAGCGAUUCGUGCUUGGAAAUGGCACAAUCUCGUGCGGCCGCAGGGUUCCAAGGAGCUGGGUAUGGAGAUAUCUUGUUUAGGACUAUAGGUUCCAUGCUAGAAGCGCGAGUAGACAUGAAUUCGGUAUUUUCUUAGGUCUGAGAUGACAGGAAUGGUCACUAUUGAAUGGUAGGACCUGCAGAGGUAUGAAAAUGUGACAUGAGCAUGCUGUCCGAGAAGUUCCAUUAGUGUUAUGGAUGGCCUUGCAGGUCUUUGUUCUUAACCUACUAUAUUCGUGUUUUUUCACGGCACAAAUGGAGCAAAUAUGCUUCUUUAACAUAGCAGGAAGUAGAUGCGCGAGUUUGAAUAUGCUACUGUGGUUGUUAUGGAACAGUAGGAGCUAAUUAACGCAACAAGCAGUGCCUAACUGAGAUUUCUAAAUUUGGAAAAGGAAAUGUGGGAAUGCAACAGCGUAGGUUGGUCGGUAUAUGCUUGUGCAAGUGUGUACUGUUUAUUUUUACAGAACAAAGUGUGUAUGGUUUCUAGGGUUUUGAACUGGGUUGCAAACUCUGCUUAUGUCUUGGUAAGACAAAACCUUCUUUAGUGCUGAUUCUGUGUUCCUUUUUGAACCUGUGCAUGCCAUUUAUGGUAAACAAUGUUAAAAUAACUACUCUUCAAAUGGAUAUUAACAUCUCCAUAGACCAUAGACUAGUAGUUUUGAUCACAUAUACUCCCUCUGUCCCAAAAUAAGUGUCAUUGAUCUAGUACAAAAUUUGUGCUAAUUUAGUACUAAAUCUGCGACACCUAUUUUGAGACGGAGGGAGUAAUUCUUAGACUGCUUGUUGGUGGCAUUCCAGAAUAAACAUCUGGAUGCCUACAUGCUGCAAAAGCUCAAAAUGUCCUUUGCUUCAUGUUUUAUGCAGUAUUACUACCUAUUUUGGUCAGGGUGUUAUAUAACUAAAUUCAUAGAUGCAUGUGAGCCUGGAUUUUUUCUUGUUGUUAGGAAAUAGGAAAUAUGCAUACACACACACACACACACACACGUGUGCAGGUGGUAAAUAUGUAGGAAACCCCUCAUACUAUGGGAAAAAUAUACAGCCUAUACAUGGAACAUAAUAUAACUCACCCUGUUGUCGUGGGAAAUUGAUCCGCACAGCACCACAAAUUCCUCACUUACGUGGAGGUAAACAGACCAUUUUUAUGCAAAACGGCAAAGAUGAGCCAAACCCUAGGGCUGCUAGGGCUGUGCAGAAGCUACGACCUAGGCGCUGGAAGGAGAAAGCUUAUAGGAGAAAAAAGUAACGUAGAGUUGCGAAAGGAUCAAUGAUUGUAGCUUUUCAGUCGACCAUGUACCCAUAUAUAUUAGGUAUGCUUGGCCUUUGGCAAUUUGGAAUAGGACCCCUGACUAGUCAGGUACCAUUUCCUUGGCAUACAAGCCAAAUUGGUAAUCUUUAAUUAAUUCGGCUAGACCUGUAAAAGCACCAGCCUGAGCCCAAUGCUAGUACACCUUCCUUAUUAGCUCUGUUCUCGCCGAAUAGCUGAUCAUGCAAAAUCUUUUCUAUCUCAAGCAUUCUAAACCAGAUCUCUUUCCUUUUUUCUCUUCAUGCGUGAGCUCCAGCACACAAUUCUGUUGCAUCCAGCCUGCUGCACCUAUCCUAUGUACUUGCAAUCAUGUGGCCAUUCUCAAACAAUGUAUCAACCAAUUAGCUUAUCCACCAAAACUAAAUAAUCCGGCUGACCAUUCAAGCCAGAUCCAAAUUAGACUGUCAACACAUGCCCCCCUGGUUUUGGUGUAAUUUUAUUUGCCAAAAACACCAUGGCAAUAUCUUGAGACGAUUUCAACCACUUCACCGGUCAUAUCAAUUGCUUAGGGCGAUGUCCACAUAACACACCUGCCAAAUUUAGCAUAAGGUGAUAUCUAAAAUCACAUCGGGCAUGUUUUGCUUAGGGCGACAUCUUAAAUAAUAUCGCCCAUAGUGCCAUCAAGCUUCUUGCCACAUUCUAGGAUAGUGCUUCUUCAGAUAUUUUCUAUUGAGAGCUUUAGGCAAUUUCUCCCCUUGCAAAAAUUGUAGAGAAUAUCAAUUUCCAGGAACAAUCUCUACAAUCUUAUACGGACCUUCCCAACUUGGCGACUAUUUGCCGAAUUUAUUAUUUCUAGUUCCUAUAGACAAAACCGUUCUCCGCACUAAUUCUCCUAUUUGAAACGAUUUCCCCCUUAACUUUUAUUAUAAGCCUUUGCCACUCGUAAUUUCUUUGUUUUCAAUUUCUUGCAAGGCUCUCAACCUUUCCUCUGAUACAUUAUCUAUCCUAUCCAUCAUUAAAUUGUUGUAAUCUAGAGCCGACAAAUCAUUUUGUCUGGCUACUCUAAGAGCUUGCAAAUUAAUCUCCACGGGUAGCACUGCUUCUUGCCCAUACACUAGCUCAUACGGUGUCACUUGAGUCACUCCGUUCGUAGAUAUCCAACGAGCCCAUAAAGCUUCUGAUAGCACUUCAUGCCACCUUCUCGGAUGCUCCUUAAUUUUCUUCUCUAUAAGCUUAAUUAAAGUUCUAUUGCUAGAUUCGGCUUGUCCAUAAGCUUGAGCAUAAUAAGGCGAUGAAUUUAGCAAUUUAAUUCUAAAAGAUUUGGCGCACGAAAUUGACGAGACAUAAAAGAAGAGGCAGGGAGACAGCAACAGCAAAAUCACUCAAACAUGAGACACGGGUAGCAGCAGCGGGUCCACCGGGAGUGAGCAGCAGGCCAGGGCACAUGAGAAUUGCAGCGGCGAGUGCUCGGAGGUGCAGAACUGAGCAGCAGAAUCACGGAGCUGGGCGGGCGGAGGCGGAGGUGCAGAGUAACGAGCCCGUGGCCUGGGGGAAACGGAGGCGGCAACACGGAUAUGGUGGGGCUGCCGAUCUAGGCCGAUUUGCAGGUAGUGGAGUUGUGGAGGCGAGGCGACAUCAGCUACUGCAGCUUGGAAUCGGGAUCCAGCAGGGCGUUGACCAGUGUAGAAUCCUCAGGCGAGGGCAGGUGGCGAUGUGAAGAGCAGGCAGCAGCAGCCGUUAGAAGGAAAUGAUGGCGGCGACCAAAAAAAAGGGAUGGCGGCGGCGC